GGGGUUGUAGCACAGGGGUAGAGCGCUUGCCUAGCAUGUAUGAGGCACUCAAUUCUCAGCACCG
RNAcentral lists this transfer RNA (64 nucleotides) under Marmota monax (woodchuck). RNAcentral describes it as "tRNA.Ala". The record is from RNAcentral. Lineage: Eukaryota; Metazoa; Chordata; Mammalia; Rodentia; Sciuridae.